Molecule: long non-coding RNA, 580 nt
Filed under: Nicotiana benthamiana
Lineage: Eukaryota; Viridiplantae; Streptophyta; Magnoliopsida; Solanales; Solanaceae
Description: long non-coding RNA (NBEN_LNC017339)
Source: RNAcentral
UAUAACAUGUGAGUUAUGAAACUCAAAGGUCACAAGAAUGUAACCUUGGUUACAUGUAUGUAACCUUAGUUAGCCCAUCAUUAACUAAGGUUACUCUAUUGGGUAUCUACACAUUGGUCCUACACUUUAUAUGACAAUGUAUUAGCCCCCUUAACAAUAAUGUCCAUAAGACCAUUAAUAUAGGCCAAACCAAAAGAUAGCACAUAACAUAUAAUUAAUCCAUAUAUUGUCCAUAUGUAUGUAGUAUAAAUCCAAAUGUCUAACAAUCUCCCACCAAGUUCUUUCUUUCUUCAUGCUUGCUAAUUUUAGAGGCCUUUGCCUCAAUAGGAUAGCUAAGGUAAGGUCUAUGCCGGCAAUGUUAUAUGGGGGACAUUACCGGUGUAACUCGCCUUAUUUUAACUUCAUAUUUGUUGUAUCUUUCUUUCCUGUUUUUAUUGCUUUUUGUGUAAUUUUACCAUAAUAGGUUGAAUACGGGAAGGUUAGACCGGUUGUUUUUGUAACAACUCCGGCGAUUUGACUCCCUACUCGUAUUUCACCUAUUUAUGGUAUUUUUCCUUUAUUAAUAAAAUCCAAAAUUUGC